UAGCCGUAAACGAUACUCGCUAGGUGUCGGCCACGGUGCGACCGUUGUCGGUGCCGUAGGGAAGCCGUGAAGCGAGCCACCUGGGAAGUACGGCCGCAAGGCUGAAACUUAAAGGAAUUGGCGGGGGAGCACCACAACGGGUGGAGCUUGCGGUUUAAUUUGGAUUCAACGCCGGAAAUCCUACCGGGACCGACAGCAACAUGAAGGCCAGGCUGAAGACUUUGCCGGAUUAGCUGAGAGGAGGUGCAUGGCGUAGUCGUGU
Molecule: ribosomal RNA, 262 nt
Filed under: uncultured archaeon
Lineage: Archaea
Description: partial 16S ribosomal RNA
Rfam family: Archaeal small subunit ribosomal RNA
Source: RNAcentral